GACGAACGCUGGCGGCGUGCCUAAUACAUGCAAGUAGAACGCUUAAGGAGGAGCUUGCUUCUCCGUAUGAGUUGCGAACGGGUGAGUAACGCGUAGGUAACCUGCCUGGUAGCGGGGGAUAACUGUUGGAAACGAUAGCUAAUACCGCAUAAGAGUAGAUGUCGCAUGACAUUUUCUUAAAAGGUGCAACUGCACCACUACCAGAUGGACCUGCGUUGUAUUAGCUAGUUGGUGAGGUAACGGCUCACCAAGGCAACUAUACAUAGCCGACCUGAGAGGGAGGUCGGGCACCGUGGGACCGAGACACGGCCCAAAAUCCUUCGGGAGGCAGCAGUAGGGAAACUUCGGCAAUGGACCGAAGUCUGACCGCGCCACGCCGCGUGAGUGAAGAAGGUUUUCGGAUCGUAAAGCUCUGUUGUAAGAGAAGAACGAGUGUGAGAGUGGAAAGUUCACACUGUGACGGUAUCUUACCAGAAAGGGACGGCUAACUACGUG
RNAcentral lists this ribosomal RNA (495 nucleotides) under uncultured bacterium. RNAcentral's name for it is "partial 16S ribosomal RNA". It matches the Rfam family "Bacterial small subunit ribosomal RNA", at positions 28 to 507 of the family's 1533-position model. The record is from RNAcentral.